This 76-nucleotide transfer RNA is filed under the name Ulvibacter sp. Its description in RNAcentral is "tRNA-Thr". It matches the Rfam family "tRNA". Rfam says of the family: Transfer RNA (tRNA) molecules are approximately 80 nucleotides in length. Their secondary structure includes four short double-helical elements and three loops (D, anti-codon, and T loops). The record is from RNAcentral. Lineage: Bacteria; Pseudomonadati; Bacteroidota; Flavobacteriia; Flavobacteriales; Flavobacteriaceae. RNAcentral also lists the same sequence under 1 other name.
GCCGAAUUAGCUCAAUUGGUAGAGCACCUGAUUUGUAAUCAGUAGGUUGUCAGUUCAAGUCCGACAUUCGGCACCA